GACGAACGCUGGCGGCGUGCUUAACACAUGCAAGUCGAACGGAAAGGCCCUGCUUUUGUGGGGUGCUCGAGUGGCGAACGGGUGAGUAACACGUGAGUAACCUGCCCUUGACUUUGGGAUAACUUCAGGAAACUGGGGCUAAUACCGGAUAGGAGCUCUUGCUCCAUGGUGGGGGUUGGAAAGUUUCGGCGGUUGGGGAUGGACUCGCGGCUUAUCAGCUUGUUGGUGGGGUAGUGGCUUACCAAGGCUUUGACGGGUAGCCGGCCUGAGAGGGUGACCGGCCACAUUGGGACUGAGGUACGGCCCAGACUCCUACGGGAGGCAGCAGUGGGGAAUAUUGCACAAUGGGCGGAAGCCUGAUGCAGCAACGCCGCGUGCGGGAUGACGGCCUUCGGGUUGUAAACCGCUUUCGCCUGUGACGAAGCGUGAGUGACGGUAAUGGGUAAAGAAGCACCGGCUAACUACGUG
This 468-nucleotide ribosomal RNA is filed under the name uncultured bacterium. Its description in RNAcentral is "partial 16S ribosomal RNA". It matches the Rfam family "Bacterial small subunit ribosomal RNA", at positions 28 to 507 of the family's 1533-position model. The record is from RNAcentral.